UACAGAGGUCCCAAGCGUUGUUCGGAUUUACUGGGCGUAAAGGGUGCGUAGGUGGCGGUCUAAGUCGGGUGUGAAAUUUCCGGGCUCAACCCGGAGGGUGCGCUCGAAACUGAAUCGCUAGAGGAUGGGAGGGGAGACUAGAAUUCUCGGUGUAGCAGUGAAAUGCGUAGAUAUCGAGAGGAACACCGGUGGCGAAGGCGAGUCUCUGGACCAUUCCUGACACUGAGGCACGAAAGCCGGGGGAGCAAACAGG
Molecule: ribosomal RNA, 253 nt
Filed under: uncultured bacterium
Lineage: Bacteria
Description: partial 16S ribosomal RNA
Rfam family: Bacterial small subunit ribosomal RNA
Source: RNAcentral